This 459-nucleotide ribosomal RNA is filed under the name uncultured bacterium. RNAcentral describes it as "partial 16S ribosomal RNA". It matches the Rfam family "Bacterial small subunit ribosomal RNA", at positions 338 to 795 of the family's 1533-position model. The record is from RNAcentral.
CCUACGGGAGGCUGCAGUGAGGAAUAUUGGUCAAUGGGCGGGAGCCUGAGCCAGCCAAGCCGCGUGAGGGAAGAAGGUACAGCGUAUCGUAAACCUCUUUUGUCAGGGAACAAAGGCGGGCACUAGUCCCCGUAUGAGGGUACCUGAAGAAAAAGCAUCGGCUAACUCCGUGCCAGUAGACGCGGUAAUACGGAGGAUGAGAGCGUUAUCCGGAUUUAUUGGGUUAAAAGGGUGCGCAGGCGGCCUGAUAAGUCAGCGGUAAAAGCCCGGGGCUCAACCCCGGCCAGCCGUUGAAACUGGGGGGCUGGAGUUGGCGAGAAGUACGCGGAAUGCGCGGUGUAGCGGUGAAAUGCUUAGAUAUCGCGCAGAACCCCGAUUGCGAAGGCAGCAUACCGGCUCCCAACUGACGCUGAAGCACGAAAGCGUGGGUAUCGAACAGGAUUAGAUACCCUUGUAGUC